Molecule: long non-coding RNA, 2218 nt
Filed under: Limulus polyphemus (Atlantic horseshoe crab)
Lineage: Eukaryota; Metazoa; Arthropoda; Merostomata; Xiphosura; Limulidae
Description: uncharacterized LOC111087720
Source: RNAcentral
CUUGUUAGUGUCCAGUUGGAGGUUGAGCAUGCCAGAGGCACGCGCUCUUUUACCCUUCUUCAGUAUGGGAUAGGGUCCUAUGGAAGACGGAUAUUUGGGCGUGCUAGUUGGAAAAAGACAGAAGGCUGUUAAUAUAGUUCAAGUCUCGUGCAGCUUGUGGUGACAAGCAAAUCAGACGAAUAUGAAGUUGUCUUUUUCAUGUAUCGUCGUUUGCCGUGGUUACGAAUUUGUUGAAGGAAAGUUUGAAACAACAACGGUAAGGUUUGGACAUUUUGAGUAACUCUAGAAGUGAAAUUGUCGUCUUUGAGAAGAAUGACAUUAAUAAGACGACAUGUGAACAACUAACGAAACAGGUCUGGCUUUCUUCCUUUUAAAGCCUCGUAUGCCUAACACAAUCUGCACUGAUUGAUCAUGUUUAGCCUCUAAACUGGAAAUCAGUACUGUAUAGAAAUGCCACGCUCUCUAAUAUUGUCCACCUUAUAUUGUUGUAACACAUUUUUAAUGCGUGUGAGCUUAGAGAUAUUACGAGUUAUUGAGUAACCAGUUGUGAAUAAUACGAACUAAAAGUUUUGCAAUUUCAAUGCAAAGAUCGUUUGAAUGUUUACUUAUGGAAUAUUCGCAAAGGUUUCUCUUGAGUGUUGACUAUUUUAACCCGUGGGAAAAAAAAAGAGAGUAAUUUCUGCACCGAUAAUGAAACGUUUGUUUGUGAAGCUGAAGGCUAUGUGUUAUCGAAAUUGUUGUUGUUAUGUUUGUCUUGUCAGCAACAGGAAAUGAUGUUGCUUUUCCCGUUGUAAGAAGCUGUGACACCUACCUAGUAAGUUCGCUGAAUACGCUUAACGUUCCUUGAUGUUAAGGAAGUAAAUAAAACAUCUUGACGUCACUAAGGCACGGUGGCCAAUGUAUUGUGUGUGCGUGAUUGAAACAGAUGACUCUUACAUCUCAUGACUGCCCACGUGGAUGACGUAUGCUAUAAGUUUAACACAUCUCGACUGUUUAUCAACUACACGAACGUCGAAAUAAUCGGAGAAGACCAGAACUUCCUUUGAGAAUUUUCAGUUAAUCCCGCCUUUUUCUACACUUUUCCAUUCUAGAAGAACACCAAUAGAAUAACCGGACCCUUUGUAAUACAUUGUUUGUUGUCAGUACUGCGGUUCUGUAAGGGGAUAACAGGAGGUGUUAAGCACUUGGAAACAGUCACCGUCUACAAGUCGUUAAUCAAAGGAAUGAAAAGCGCAUUACAGCGAGAAGAGAGCAUUGGUUGACGGGUGGCGUGACCUUUGAUCCUCUUCUUCCUCCCCAGGAGAACCGUCCUAUAAGUCUACGAUCAUGUAACAAAAGUGACUAACCCAUAACUUCGAAAACCAGCUGGAAAAAGAACAAUUUGUAACAUCUACGAGUUUUGGUUAAAGCUGAGAAUCGAAACGGUUCUGUGGUUACGAGAACACCAAGAGUGUACAGUUUUUGAAGAUGUUUCAGACCAAACAGAUGGAAAGAUAGCGUUGUCGGUUUCAUUAUAUUUGUUAUAGAAAGUCAGAUAUUAUUAAUUUUAUGUGUUCUUGUAUAACUCGGUUUCGGUAUCUAAAGAACUACAUGUACAGUAAAUGUACUUGCAGUCUUCUUAAAUGGGGAAUUUGGUAUUUUUUUUUUUUUACAAAUAUUCUACAUAAUUUGAUAUUGAAAAAACAAUUGUUGCUAAAGAGGGACUGUCAGAUUUCAAUGGAAAAGACUGAUACACGAAGGAAAAUCUUAGCUACAGAUACAGUUAUAGUACUGAAGAAAAACGCUCAUAUCGUUUUGUGUAUCCAAACAUUUAACAGUUUCUCAUUUUCGUGGAACGUCAGUAACUUCACAUUUUAAUUCACCUAAUUAAUGCAACCAUAUAUUCACAAAACCAUCCAUAAGUUUGGUAAUAUAGACAACAUCGGGAGAUAUUUUAAUCAAACUCAAUUAGGAGAUAGAUAGCUACUGGAGAGUUACUUUGUCUUUAAUCAUGAUGCGGGGUUGUUUUGGAAGAAAGAAGAAAACAAAGGGGUCUUCUCAAAUGAUGCGGAGUCCUUCUCCGGAUUGUUGGUGUUCCUGUCACAAAAAGGUGAUAGCGUCAUGUGAAUCUUCUGUCAAUUACGAACUGCAAAGCCACGAAGGCUUGAGGCAGUCUCACACCCGGAGACCGAGAAGUCCAGGCACAAGAUCGCUUGAUUACCACAGAAGUCCCAGGUAA